RNAcentral lists this ribosomal RNA (483 nucleotides) under uncultured bacterium. RNAcentral describes it as "partial 16S ribosomal RNA". It matches the Rfam family "Bacterial small subunit ribosomal RNA", at positions 28 to 507 of the family's 1533-position model. The record is from RNAcentral.
GACGAACGCUGGCGGCGUGCUUAACACAUGCAAGUCGAACGCUGAAGCUCAGCUUUUGUUGGGUGGAUGAGUGGCGAACGGGUGAGUAACACGUGAGUAACCUGCCCCCUUCUUUGGGAUAACGCCCGGAAACGGGUGCUAAUACUGGAUAUUCACUGGUCUUCGCAUGGGGGUUGGUGGAAAGGGUUUUUCUGGUGGGGGAUGGGCUCGCGGCCUAUCAGCUUGUUGGUGGGGUGAUGGCCUACCAAGGCUUUGACGGGUAGCCGGCCUGAGAGGGUGACCGGUCACAUUGGGGCUGAGAUACGGCCCAGACUCCUACGGGAGGCAGCAGUGGGGAAUAUUGCACAAUGGGCGCAAGCCUGAUGCAGCGACGCCGCGUGAGGGAUGGAGGCCUUCGGGUUGUGAACCUCUUUCGCUCAUGGUCAAGCCGCAACAAUGGUUGUGGUGAGGGUAGUGGGUAAAGAAGCGCCGGCUAACUACGUG